This 490-nucleotide ribosomal RNA is filed under the name uncultured bacterium. Its description in RNAcentral is "partial 16S ribosomal RNA". It matches the Rfam family "Bacterial small subunit ribosomal RNA", at positions 30 to 507 of the family's 1533-position model. The record is from RNAcentral.
AUUGGACGCUGGCGGCAGGCCUAACACAUGCAAGUCGAACGGUAACAGGAAGAAGCUUGCUUCUUUGCUGACGAGUGGCGGACGGGUGAGUAAUGUCUGGGAAACUGCCUGAUGGAGGGGGAUAACUACUGGAAACGGUAGCUAAUACCGCAUAACGUCGCAAGACCAAAGAGGGGGACCUUCGGGCCUCUUGCCAUCGGAUGUGCCCAGAUGGGAUUAGCUAGUAGGUGGGGUAACGGCUCACCUAGGCGACGAUCCCUAGCUGGUCUGAGAGGAUGACCAGCCACACUGGAACUGAGACACGGUCCAGACUCCUACGGGAGGCAGCAGUGGGGAAUAUUGCACAAUGGGCGCAAGCCUGAUGCAGCCAUGCCGCGUGUAUGAAGAAGGCCUUCGGGUUGUAAAGUACUUUCAGCGGGGAGGAAGGGAGUAAAGUUAAUACCUUUGCUCAUUGACGUUACCCGCAGAAGAAGCACCGGCUAACUCCGUG